RNAcentral lists this ribosomal RNA (253 nucleotides) under uncultured bacterium. RNAcentral describes it as "partial 16S ribosomal RNA". It matches the Rfam family "Bacterial small subunit ribosomal RNA", at positions 524 to 776 of the family's 1533-position model. The record is from RNAcentral.
GACAGAGGGUGCAAACGUUGCUCGGAAUUACUGGGCGUAAAGCGCGUGUAGGCGGCUCUGCAAGUCGGGUGUGAAAUCCCAUGGCUCAACUAUGGAAGUGCACUCGAAACUGCAGGGCUAGAGUCCUGGAGAGGAAGGUGGAAUGCUUGGUGUAGAGGUGAAAUUCGUAGAUAUCAAGCGGAACACCGGUGGCGAAGGCGGCCUUCUGGACAGUGACUGACGCUGAGACGCGAAAGCGUGGGGAGCAAACAGG